RNAcentral lists this unclassified non-coding RNA (357 nucleotides) under Hevea brasiliensis (rubber tree). The record is from RNAcentral. Lineage: Eukaryota; Viridiplantae; Streptophyta; Magnoliopsida; Malpighiales; Euphorbiaceae.
UGACGAGAACACCAACGCAAGUGGCAAGCCAUGCACAAAAAUAUUUCAUCCGUUUGAACUCAAUGAACAAAGAAAGGAGGCGGUCCAGCAUCCACGAUAUCACCAGCGUUACGAACGGAGAUAUCUCGGCUGCUCAAGGGCCGAUCACCGGUCAAGCAAACGGCUCUGGAGCAGCUCCCUCUGGAAAACCAACAAAACAGCCUCCUCAAUCUGCAGCUGGUCCUCCUGGUGUGGGAAUGUAUGGUGGUCCAACAAUGGGGCAGCCAGUGGGUGGUCCGCUCGUCUCAGCUGUUGGCACCCCUGUCAGUCUCCCUGCUCCUGCUCAUAUGGCAUAUGGAGUCCAAGCUCCAGUGCCCG